Molecule: long non-coding RNA, 851 nt
Filed under: Anas platyrhynchos platyrhynchos (common mallard)
Lineage: Eukaryota; Metazoa; Chordata; Aves; Anseriformes; Anatidae
Description: lncRNA (ENSAPLG00000024155.1)
Source: RNAcentral
CAGCUGUGUGUCACUCAGCUCCCCUCCCCUUGAAUCCUGCCUUGUCUGUAGACUGGAGCUCUUAUCAGGUGCUUGCAAUUGCUUUCUGAUGUAUUCUGCUUGCUGACAGGCCUGUAAAUAGAAAUUUGUUUCUAAAGUGAAUCAAGAGCUGGUGGAAUUCGUCAGCAUGACACAUGGAGAAACAGCAUCUGCCUGUUGCCUGUGCUUCUGGUGUAGCACUGACAGUAUGUACGUGUGCCCUGCUCCAGGCAUCCUGCCUUCCUCCAGGCCUCUGUGGACUGCUGCUAAAUGGAUUUCUCUGUCGCCAUACCCACAAAUGCAUACAGAGAGAGGAGAAGGGUGCUCGGCAGUGCAAGGCCAUGCCUCUGGGUCUCCAUCCUUGCCUGACUCACCCCUGCACCGAUCAGCACUGAGUUCAGUGAGUGUGUGGUGGUGGGGAGCAAGCACCUGGGCAAAGCCUGACAGGUUUAUUUCAGAUGGAAGAUCAUGGCAGCCCUGCACAUUCAGGCACUUGUUCUCUGCAAAAGCAAGAGCACAAUUACCUCUGAGAUUAUGGAGGUAUUUUCAGUUUGGUCCUGAGUGACUGCAGUUCUUAUGGUGCCUAUCAAGGAAACUGAAAUGAUUUGUAUGUUGUGGACAGCCCAAAAACAGAUAUUGGAAUUUUGGAGAGCAAAGAUGGGUAUAUUAGUUAAUGCUUUUUCUCUUUGAGUAUUUUGGCACAGUUUAUCCUGAUUCAGCAGCUAUGCUCUGCAUCACUGUCUGGUCUGCAGGUAGCAACAUUUGGCAGUUUGUGUAAAUCUGCCCACUUUGUCCUCCAAAUCCUUUUCUCGCUGUUGAUCUCUCAUCUCCAC